GCCCUUUUCAUGGCGGUGGUGUACACGCUCCCAACAUGCUAGGACAUGAUAGGACCAGACAGCUGCCAUGUUCAAUGGGGCCUAAUGGCACAGUGGUUUAACAGUUGAGGAAUACAAGGAUUGUCCUGCAGGGAUAUAUAAUCGAAAUAUUGACGCACUGUACUGUAUGUUAUGGUAAUGGUAUAAUGUAUGUAGGCCUACUGUACACCUAUGACUUUUGGACAAAAAUAGCUACAGUACUAGACUAUAGUAAUGGCUCAUUGAUUUUCAAUGUAACUGAAUUAUGUUUCUGCAAACGAUGGUCCAUAGCCAGGCAUGUUCAGUGGUUGGGAAACACUGAAAAACAUACCUGCAUUUGUGAAACGAGUGAAAGAAGUAUUGCGCCUUAGAAAUAAGGAAAGGCCUAACACCUCGACAUUAAACGGGAACACAAAUUGUUUUCCAUCGCGAAACGUUUGGCAAUGCUGUAGGUGACCCACGACGUCCAACAGACCGAGGAAAAGGUCCCAUGUGUUAAAGACACUGAGAGGCUUUGUCUCCUCCGCCAUCAAUACAAGCAUACAUGAAGCCCUCAUGCCCGGCCUCGCCGUGGGCCGUCUCACUACAGCCCACCGUAGCCUAAGCUUGCAGGAGACAGCGCAGGAAAGCUCCAAGCCAUGGUUACUCCCACCGAUAUCCAGCUGGGCAGCAGACUCAUAGGAUCCCCAGGAUCCAGGGCUAAGUGGAAGAGAACUACUCCUCACCCUCAAUUAACGAUUCGGAGGUCUACAUCGGCUGUGUUUAAAUAUGAAGCACGUUCAUGCGACAGGGAUAUUAUCUAGCGUCAUUCAGCAAUUCGGCGCUAAGAGCACCAGAGCUGGCCACACAGCGGGGAACAUGGCCACAGACCCUAUGAAGUGUAGCUGUAUCCUUUGUUGGGGCACUGUGCGCCAGUAGUGAUUGGGGAAAUGCCUCAGUACACCGGGGGUAGUAUGACACGCAUUAGCGGUACUAGGUGGUGGGCUUUGAGGGGGUCUCUGGAACCCGCAUGGUCGUAGGCCCACCCACAUGGGUGGAGCCCAUGAGCUCAGAUAUGCAAUCACCUUUCAUUAUGACACAGAGAAGCCCCCCCCACGGACGAUGAAUGUGGGCAGGCACUUCAAUUCCAGCCACCCUCUGUGUUUGCCAUGCAAGUCAUUGACGUCCGACUCGAUUCAUCUAGUAUUGUAAUGAAUGCGGUAUUGAUAGAUGUCACUGUACUUUUCAGCUGCUCCGUUUCUGAACCCAUAACUAGGCCUAGAUCUAACGCGACAUGGAUCUAAAGAUGGCCCUGAG
Molecule: long non-coding RNA, 1314 nt
Organism: Esox lucius (northern pike)
Lineage: Eukaryota; Metazoa; Chordata; Actinopteri; Esociformes; Esocidae
Source: Ensembl